This is a non-coding RNA of Myotis lucifugus (little brown bat), 124 nucleotides long. Lineage: Eukaryota; Metazoa; Chordata; Mammalia; Chiroptera; Vespertilionidae. The record is from Rfam.
CAUGCACCAGUGGGGUCCCUCAGCCUGGCCUGUGGGAUUGGGCCGAAACCAGCUCUCUGACAUCCCCCGAGGGGUCCCGGAUUAUGAGAGUGCAGGCCAGGCUGAGGGACCCCACUGGUGCACG